This 514-nucleotide ribosomal RNA is filed under the name Fringilla coelebs (chaffinch). RNAcentral describes it as "partial large subunit ribosomal RNA". It matches the Rfam family "Bacterial large subunit ribosomal RNA", at positions 1842 to 2566 of the family's 2925-position model. The record is from RNAcentral. Lineage: Eukaryota; Metazoa; Chordata; Aves; Passeriformes; Fringillidae.
AGUAUUGAAGGUGAUGCCUGCCCGGUGACUCACGUUCAACGGCCGCGGUAUCCUAACCGUGCGAAGGUAGCGCAAUCAAUUGUCCCAUAAAUCGAGACUAGUAUGAAUGGCUAAACGAGGUCUUAACUGUCUCUUACAGGCAAUCGGUGAAAUUGAUCUUCCUGUACAAAAGCAGGGAUAAACACAUAAGACGAGAAGACCCUGUGGAACUUCAAAACCAGCAACCACCUUAAAUCACCUACACACCCACCGGGUUCACUGACAUUUAAGCUACUGGUCUGCGUUUUUCGGUUGGGGCGACCUUGGAGCAAAACAAAACCUCCAAAAAUUAGACCAUCCCUCUAGACUGAGAGCAACCCCUCAACGUGCGAAUAGCACCCAGACCCAAUAUAAUUGAUCGAUGGACCAAGCUACCCCAGGGAUAACAGCGCAAUCCCCUCCGAGAGUCCAUAUCGACGAGGGGGUUUACGACCUCGAUGUUGGAUCAGGACAUCCUGGUGGUGCAGCAGCUGCC